GACGAACGCUGGCGGCGUGCUUAACACAUGCAAGUCGAACGGAAAGGCCCUGCUUUUGUGGGGUGCUCGAGUGGCGAACGGGUGAGUAACACGUGAGUAACCUGCCCUUGACUUUGGGAUAACUUCAGGAUACUGGGGCUAAUACCGGAUAGGAGCUCCUGCUGCAUGGUGGGGGUUGGAAAGUUUCGGCGGUUGGGGAUGGACUCGCGGCUUAUCAGCUUGUUGGUGGGGUAGUGGCUUACCAAGGCUUUGACGGGUAGCCGGCCUGAGAGGGUGACCGGCCACACUGGGACUGAGAUACGGCCCAGACUCCUACGGGAGGCAGCAGUGGGGAAUAUUGCACAAUGGGCGGAAGCCUGAUGCAGCAACGCCGCGUGCGGGAUGACGGCCUUCGGGUUGUAAACCGCUUUCGCCUGUGACGAAGCGUGAGUGACGGUAAUGGGUAAAGAAGCACCGGCUAACUACGUG
Molecule: ribosomal RNA, 468 nt
Filed under: uncultured bacterium
Lineage: Bacteria
Description: partial 16S ribosomal RNA
Rfam family: Bacterial small subunit ribosomal RNA
Source: RNAcentral